GGCGCGUUCGUCUAUCGGUUAGGACGUUAGAUUCUCAAUCUAGCAAGAGGGGUCCGACUCCCCUACGCGCUACCA
RNAcentral lists this transfer RNA (75 nucleotides) under Candidatus Gottesmanbacteria bacterium. Its description in RNAcentral is "tRNA-Glu". It matches the Rfam family "tRNA". From Rfam's summary of the family: Transfer RNA (tRNA) molecules are approximately 80 nucleotides in length. Their secondary structure includes four short double-helical elements and three loops (D, anti-codon, and T loops). The record is from RNAcentral. Lineage: Bacteria; Candidatus Gottesmaniibacteriota.